UCAGAGUAAUAGUGGCUUCAUAAAA
This 25-nucleotide non-coding RNA is filed under the name Mus musculus (house mouse). The record is from RNAcentral. Lineage: Eukaryota; Metazoa; Chordata; Mammalia; Rodentia; Muridae.